UCUCCGUUGGUGAACCAGCGGAGGGAUCAUUACAGGACUCGCAAGACUCCUUCACCCUGUGAACCUCACUACAAGCACGUUGCUUCGGCGGGUGUCCCGGCGGCGGAUUUCCCUCUCCGGGGCGCACAGCCCGCCGGCACCCUACUAUACUCUGUAUCUUUGCGUUGGCAUCUCGAGAAAAAACAAACAAGUUAAAACUUUCAACAACGGAUCUCUUGGUUCUG
RNAcentral lists this unclassified non-coding RNA (224 nucleotides) under plant metagenome. Its description in RNAcentral is "partial contains small subunit ribosomal RNA, internal transcribed spacer 1, and 5.8S ribosomal RNA". The record is from RNAcentral.